Molecule: ribosomal RNA, 253 nt
Filed under: uncultured bacterium
Lineage: Bacteria
Description: partial 16S ribosomal RNA
Rfam family: Bacterial small subunit ribosomal RNA
Source: RNAcentral
UACGGGGGGGGCAAGCGUUGUUCGGAAUUACUGGGCGUAAAGGGCGCGUAGGCGGUUCGCUAAGUUGGACGUGAAAACUCUGGGCUCAACCCAGAGCCUGCAUCCAAAACUGGCGGGCUAGAGUUCUGGAGGGGGUAGCGGAAUUCCUGGUGUAGCGGUGAAAUGCGUAGAUAUCAGGAGGAACACCGGUGGCGAAGGCGGCUACCUGGACAGAAACUGACGCUGAGGCGCGAAAGCUAGGGGAGCAAACAGG